Molecule: non-coding RNA, 26 nt
Filed under: Cricetulus griseus (Chinese hamster)
Lineage: Eukaryota; Metazoa; Chordata; Mammalia; Rodentia; Cricetidae
Source: RNAcentral
AGGUGUCCAGGCUGAAUCACACAAAG